CUUUCCUGUGCUGUUCUCAAGACAGUAAGUCUCACAAGAUGUGAUGGUUAUUAUAAGGGGGAGUUUUCCUGCACAAGCUCUCUCUUUGCCGGCUGCCAUCCAUGUAAGAUGUGACUUGCUGCUCCUUGCCAUCUGCCAUGAUUGUGAAGUCUCUUCAGCCAUGUGGAGCCGAACUUCAUGAAAACCCAGUUAUCCAAAGAAUAGAAUAUUCAACUAUCUCUCCUGGAGAAUUACCACUUCUCACAACCAUAGACUACUCAACCAGGCUUGCCAAAUCUCAUUGCAAAAACCCCACUUCAGUGAAUCCUCCAGUGGCAAAUUUGACCCAGUUUCACACAGGCCUUCUUACUGAAUGGAUCACCUGAGAUCAAACCCUCAAGAUCUUGUGAAUAUCUUAUUCUUGAUCUUCCUGUUUCAAGAAACCACUAAGACUCUGUCAAUGUAGUUCACUAAUUUACUGCAGUAAGCAAUAAACCUGUCUUUAUUUAAUCAAUGAGUUAUUUUGGUAGUCUUACUGAAGAAAUGGUAGUAGACAUCCCCAUUACUUUAAAAAUUUUUUAGAUUAUUGUUUUACUUUCAAAGAAAUUUCUAUAAAAUAGAAGAGCAUAAAGAGCAUUAGCAUCACUGUUUUGUUACACUCAGCAGCUUGCCAUAUGGGAAAUAUACAUUAGAAGACAAUUAAGGGUAAAAAGAAACUUUUUCCUCACACAACACAAUUACAUAGUGUGAAAACAUUCAGGGAGUGUUUAUGAACUCAGUGGAUUCUGAAACAUAAGCUAAUUUUCGCAAGACAUAAGGAAUUUUAUGAGAAAAAUAUAAGCAGU
Molecule: long non-coding RNA, 824 nt
Filed under: Homo sapiens (human)
Lineage: Eukaryota; Metazoa; Chordata; Mammalia; Primates; Hominidae
Description: HSALNT0307760
Source: RNAcentral